This 326-nucleotide ribosomal RNA is filed under the name uncultured eukaryote. RNAcentral's name for it is "partial 18S ribosomal RNA". It matches the Rfam family "Eukaryotic small subunit ribosomal RNA", at positions 1470 to 1796 of the family's 1831-position model. The record is from RNAcentral.
CCCUUAGAUGUUCUGGGCCGCACGCGCGCUACACUGAUGAAUUCAACGAGCACUAACCUGUGCCGAAAGGUUCGGGUAAUCUUGUGAAAUUUCAUCGUGAUGGGGAUUGAUUAUUGCAAUUUUUAAUCAUAAACGAGGAAUGCCUAGUAAGCGUGAGUCAUCAGCUCACGUUGAUUACGUCCCUGCCCUUUGUACACACCGCCCGUCGCUCCUACCGAUUGAAUGUGCCAGUGAAAAGUUCGGAUUGGAGAUAGGAAACGGCAACGUAUCCUAUUUCCGAGAAAAUCUUUAAACUUUCCCAUUGAGAGGAAGGAGAAGUCGUAACA